AUGAAAAUCAAACUUGCCCCAAGGAUGCCCCUAAUCAGCAGGAAGCAGCUUAACUUGAUAUGGACACCUCCUUUCUCCUCCAACCUUCUUCCUCUCUUACCUAGUGUUGGGGGAUUGGAAGGGAUAAGGGUGGAGCAAGGCGUUAGAAAAAGGAAACGCAUAAAGGGAACCCUUGGCCAUCAGUGGAGCCCACAGCAAUCAAAAAGUGACGAAGACAGAAGAAGCUGGCUUACAGGUCUCAAGGGUCCAAGUCAGAGCUGCACAGGGGAAGAGAAAGGAGUUUGCCCCACUAUUUACAACAGGCCCCAUCUGGGGCCCUGAGCCAGCCUGGCUUGUGGAGUCCAUGGUUGUGGAGACAGACUCCAGGAAGGCCCUCAACCUCCUGCCAGUGUGAAUGUAGUCCAGCUUGCAAGAGAGAAGGAACUCCUGUAAUGUCACAGGUCACUCAACAUUGGGGUUGUGACCUUAGACCUGUGCAGGGAGGAGACAUCCUAUAAAGCCUGUCUGUGAACCCAGAGAGUAAAGACUCUCCUCUCAGCCGCCUAUGAAAUCAAGAGAUUCAGUUAACAGGACAUGUAGGAAGCUGCUGUUUGCCCAAAAUUUCGCCUUUUACUGUAAAAUUUUUUAAAAAAUAUAUCAGUAUGAAGAGUACACUUCAAAGUAAAAAAGUGACUCCACACUUAUGCCAGGGACAUCCAUGUCUGGCGCUCUGUGUGUCAUGUGACCUUUCCAUGCAUGUCACGUGAUCUUGCCAUGUGUGUAUCACAUGACCUUGCCAUGCUGGUCCAUGUUCUCACACAGCACCCUGACACACAAAGAACUUGUAGCAUUGGGAUGCUGUAGGGGAGCUGCUGAUACUAAGGUCUUGUUGCCCAGUUGGCUCUUGAUCUGUCAGUAAAGAAGCCAUUGGCCAAUUGCUGGGCAGGAGGAAUAGGAGGGACUUCCUGGUCCCUGGAGAAAAAGAGACAGACACAAGGGAGGAGAGUUUGCCAUGCUUUGGAGAGAGAAAAGCCAAGCAGCCACGUGAGGUCUCAGGAGGAGUGGUGGCCUGUGGCAGCUCCUAUAGGUGGGUGGUCAGGGGUGCUUAGCAAGGACUAGAUGUAUCUGAGCCACUAAAGUUUAGGGCAAGUGGAAAGGUGCAGAGAUAAAAUAUUGAUAAGGGCAUGCUUUUCCAGGAGGGAGAUAGUACACCCAGUAAUUGUGUCCAAAGGCAAGUUGAAAUUGAACAACUAUGUGUGUAUGAGUCUUUUAUCCAUGAAUUCAAGGGAAACUGGGUGGGAGCUGGUAGCAUGGCCCAUUCCUGGAGCACAGGCAGGGUAGC
Long non-coding RNA from Mus spicilegus (steppe mouse), 1321 nucleotides. The record is from Ensembl. NCBI's taxonomy places the organism in Eukaryota, Metazoa, Chordata, Mammalia, Rodentia, Muridae.